ANAGUUUGAUGAUGGCUCAGAAUGAACGCUGGCGGCGUGCUUAACACAUGUUAAGUCGCACGAGAACGCUUCAGCUUGCUGAAGUUAGUAAAGUGGCGCACGGGUGAGUAACGCGUGGGUAAUCUACCCCCGAAUUGGGGAUAACAUCGCGAAAGCGAUGCUAAUACCGAAUGAUAUCUUGAAAAUUUAUGUUUUCUGGAUCAAAGAUGGCCUCUACAUGUAAGCUAUUGUUUGGGGAUGAGCCCGCGUACCAUUAGCUUGUUGGUAGGGUAAUAGCCUACCAAGGCAACGAUGGUUAGCUGGUCUGAGAGGAUGAUCAGCCACACUGGAACUGACACACGGUCCAGACUCCUACGGGAGGCAGCAGUGAGGAAUUUUGCGCAAUGGGGGAAACCCUGACGCAGCAACGCCGCGUGAGUGAUGAAGGCUUUCGGGUCGUAAAGCUCUGUCAAGUGGGAAGAAACCAUAUGGUAUUAAUACCGCCAUAUGCUGACGGUACCACUGAAGGAAGCACCGGCUAACUCCGUGCCAGCAGCCGCGGUAAUACGGGGGGUGCGAGCGUUAUUCGGAAUUACUGGGCGUAAAGAGCGCGUAGGCGGUCUUUUAAGUCAGGUGUGAAAGCCCGGGGCUCAACCCCGGAAGUGCACUUGAAACUAAGAGACUUGAGUAUGGGAGAGGGAAGUGGAAUUCCUGGUGUAGCGGUGAAAUGCGUAGAUAUCAGGAGGAACAUCGGUGGCGAAGGCGACUUCCUGGACCAAUACUGACGCUGAGGCGCGAAGGCGUGGGGAGCAAAC
This 794-nucleotide ribosomal RNA is filed under the name uncultured delta proteobacterium. RNAcentral describes it as "bacterial SSU rRNA". It matches the Rfam family "Bacterial small subunit ribosomal RNA", at positions 8 to 773 of the family's 1533-position model. Lineage: Bacteria; Deltaproteobacteria. The record is from RNAcentral.